AUACGGAGGGUGCGAGCGUUAAUCGGAAUUACUGGGCGUAAAGCGUACGUAGGCGGUUGGUUAAGUUAGAUGUGAAAGCCCCGGGCUUAACCUGGGAACUGCAUUUAAGACUGGCGAACUAGAGUUGAGUAGAGGGGAGUGGAAUUUCAGGUGUAGCGGUGAAAUGCGUAGAGAUCUGAAGGAACACCAGUGGCGAAGGCGACUCCCUGGACUCGAACUGACGCUGAGGUACGAAAGCGUGGGUAGCGAACGGGAUUAGAUACCCUAGUAGUCC
Molecule: ribosomal RNA, 274 nt
Filed under: uncultured bacterium
Lineage: Bacteria
Description: partial 16S ribosomal RNA
Rfam family: Bacterial small subunit ribosomal RNA
Source: RNAcentral